This 75-nucleotide transfer RNA is filed under the name Sandaracinaceae bacterium. RNAcentral's name for it is "tRNA-Gly". It matches the Rfam family "tRNA". From Rfam's summary of the family: Transfer RNA (tRNA) molecules are approximately 80 nucleotides in length. The record is from RNAcentral. Lineage: Bacteria; Pseudomonadati; Myxococcota; Polyangiales; Sandaracinaceae.
GCUCCCGUAGCUCAGUCGGAUAGAGCAGCAGUUUCCCUAAACUGCAGGUCGCAGGUUCGAUUCCUGCCGGGGGCG